CACGUAGUUAGCCGGCGCUUUUUCUGCAGGUACCGUCACUUUCGCUUCUUCCCUGCUAAAAAGAGGUUUACAACCCGAAGGCCGUCGUCCCUCACGCGGCGUUGCUGCAUCAGGCUUGCGCCCAUUGUGCAAUAUUCCCCACUGCUGCCUCCCGUAGGAGUCUGGGCCGUGUCUCAGUCCCAGUGUGGCCGGUCACCCUCUCAGGCCGGCUACCCGUCGACGCCUUGGUGAGCCAUUACCUCACCAACAAGCUGAUAGGCCGCGAGCCCAUCCCCAACCGAAAUUCUUUCCAGACGCAGACCAUGCGGUCACGUCACAUAUCCAGUAUUAGACGCCGUUUCCAGCGCUUAUCCCAGAGUCAGGGGCAGGUUGCUCACGUGUUACUCACCCGUUCGCCACUGAUCCCACAGAGCAAGCUCCGUGUUCACCGUUCGACUUGCAUGUGUUAAGCACGCCGCCAGCGUUCAUCCUGAGCCAGGAUCAAACUC
RNAcentral lists this ribosomal RNA (488 nucleotides) under uncultured Microbacterium sp. Its description in RNAcentral is "partial 16S ribosomal RNA". Lineage: Bacteria; Bacillati; Actinomycetota; Actinomycetes; Micrococcales; Microbacteriaceae. The record is from RNAcentral.